AUAUCAAUAAGCGGAGGAAAAGAAACCAACAGGGAUUGCCCUAGUAACGGCGAGUGAAGCGGCAACAGCUCAAAUUUGAAAUCUGGCGCAAGCCCGAGUUGUAAUUUGUAGAGGAUGCUUCUGGGUAGCGACCGGUCUAAGUUCCUUGGAACAGGACGUCAUAGAGGGUGAGAAUCCCGUAUGUGACCGGCCCGCACCCUACACGUAGCUCCUUCGACGAGUCGAGUUGUUUGGGAAUGCAGCUCUAAAUGGGAGGUAAAUUUCUUCUAAAGCUAAAUACCGGCCAGAGACCGAUAGCGCACAAGUAGAGUGAUCGAAAGAUGAAAAGUACUUUGGAAAGAGAGUUAAAAAGCACGUGAAAUUGUUGAAAGGGAAGCGCCUGCAACCAGACUUCGUGGCAGUGUUCCGCCGGUCUUCUGACCGGUUUAUUCUCUGUCGCGAGGCCAUCAUCGUCUGGGCCCGCCGGAUAAGACCUGAGGAAUGUGGCUCUCCUUCGGGGGAGUGUUAUAGCCUCUGGUGAUGCGGCGAGGCUCGGGCGAGGUCCGCGCUUCGGCAAGGAUGAUGGCGUAAUGGUUGUCGGCGGCCCGUCUUGAAACACGGACCAAGGAGUCUAACAUCUAUGCGAGUGUUCGGGUGUCAAACCCCUACGCGUAAUGAAAGUGAACGGAGGUGGGAACCGCAAGGUGCACCAUCGACCGAUCCUGAUGUCCUCGGAUGGAUUUGAGUAAGAGCAUAGCUGUUGGGACCCGAAAGAUGGUGAACUAUGCCUGAAUAGGGUGAAGCCAGAGGAAACUCUGGUGGAGGCUCGCAGCGGUUCUGACGUGCAAAUCGAUCGUCAAAUUUGGGUAUAGGGGCGAAAGACUAAUCGAACCAUCUAGUAGCUGGCUC
This 888-nucleotide ribosomal RNA is filed under the name Cercospora eremochloae. RNAcentral describes it as "eukaryotic LSU rRNA". It matches the Rfam family "Eukaryotic large subunit ribosomal RNA", at positions 40 to 957 of the family's 3401-position model. Lineage: Eukaryota; Fungi; Ascomycota; Dothideomycetes; Mycosphaerellales; Mycosphaerellaceae. The record is from RNAcentral.